Gorilla gorilla gorilla (western lowland gorilla) is the source of this 1090-nucleotide long non-coding RNA. RefSeq lists it as uncharacterized. The record is from RefSeq and is a predicted model, not a curated record. The transcript has 4 exons. Lineage: Eukaryota; Metazoa; Chordata; Mammalia; Primates; Hominidae.
CACGUAUAGAAAUCCAGCACUGGAGAGUUGAUGAGAAAGUGGGCAGAUCGGCUCUAUUCACAGCUGGGGGAAACUGACCACUUUAACAAAAGGAAGAAUGCUCAGGUAACAUCUAGCCCAAAGGUCGCUCAGGGAUGUUCAAAGCACACAGGAGAGAGUGAAGUAUCCCAUCUUUGGGACACACAAGUCCCACUCAGCAUCCAUUGAAAGCAAAGCACCAAAAGCAUUGAGAUGGUGGCAGGACCUCAUUUUCCCUCUUCUCUAUUCCCUUACUCUUUCUCCAGCACAGAAGAAGCCUUGCUGAACACCUCCCGAGCGGAUGGCAUCAGAGAGAAGCUGGAUGUUUUUCCUCAAAUGGAUUAAGAAAGCAGAAGCUUCUGCCAGGGGUAACAAUGCCACUUGUGGGCACCACUGAUUUUUAAAGCACUCCACAUUCAUUAGCUCAUGGAGCCUUCGCAGCAUCCCUGGAAGGCAAGACAUUGGAAGAGCCUCCAAGACAAUGUUGAAAAGUUGGCCCUGCCGUCAGCUUCAGCAGGGCAGUCCUGCAUAGCUGCCACUUCUACCGAGGACCACCCUGUCCAGGUUCCACGCAAGCUCAUGGUGGCUGCUCCAGCCCAGCAGAGCCACUUCCUGGGAGUCACCACCCACUUGCAUCUUACUGUGGCUCUUCUUCUGUGUCCCCCAGUCAUCUGCCUACACAGAGAGAGCACAGCCACUGAAGCCUGAGACUCACGAAAGACGCCUGUGCUUUGAGGGGCUGCUUCCCAGGCAAACUUCGUUGCAGAAUUCUGAUGUCCCUGUCUGCUUCCCACUCAGGGAGUUAAUGGGACUCCACAACAGGACUCCCAGAAGUUCUCCCUGCCUGCAUGUGAUGAAGAGUGCUGAGUGAUAGAUUUGAAAUUGGACCCCUGACAUCAUGAAUAGCAGAAGUUAAUAUCUAAUGCAGCUAAAAUGCUGCACAGCUUCCUGGAACCCUUAGCACUAAAGACCACCAUGCACUGAGGAGCCACCUGCAGCUCUCCACACCAUGAAGUGCAUAUGUACCCCUCCUCUCCGCAUCUCGCAUGACCCAGCCCAUGGUGUUAAACUG